This 582-nucleotide ribosomal RNA is filed under the name Triticum aestivum (bread wheat). RNAcentral's name for it is "partial small subunit ribosomal RNA". Lineage: Eukaryota; Viridiplantae; Streptophyta; Magnoliopsida; Poales; Poaceae. The record is from RNAcentral.
GUACUAGAACUUUUCAUAAAACGUCUUUGCACUUGGUGUACAGCGGCCAUAAGCAACGGCGGCCUCAAGCACGACCAGAGCCAACUCUCUGCAAGGGAGCCUUCGUAUCCUUAUCUGCUUACGGUUACGAUACUGGUUAGGCUUAUCUCUGAACCCAAACAGGGGCCAAACUACUGCACCGCCGGCGCCGACAAGGUGUUCGGGCGCGACAUCGUGAAUGCCCACUACAAGGCUUGCCUCUACGUCGGGAUCAACAUCAGCGGUAUCAACUGGGAGGUCAUGCCCGACCAGUGGGAGUUCCAUGUCGGGCCGUCCCAACCAGCACCAGUUUCUAUUGCUGCUACCGCCGGCGAUGCGGAGAAGUCCACGGCGACGGCUGGGGCGCAGUCCGCGAUGACCCCAGUGCCUGCGAAUAUCAACCCUGGCCCAGUCAGGUCGGGAUCCUGCCGGAUCCAUGCGCACCGGUGCUCACGCGGGACGGUAGAUGCAGCAGGGGUGCAUUGGAUGGUGGGCGGCGACGACGACGUCAGAGUUGGUGGUGAAGGGUUCGCGCUGGGUGGUGGAGAUGUUGGCGAGGGCUAG